UGCAGAAUCCCGUGAACCAUCGAGUCUUUGAACGCAAGUUGCGCCCGAUGCCAUUAGGUUGAGGGCACGUCUGCCUGGGUGUCACAUAUCGAAGCCUCCUGCCAAUUUCCCUUUGAUUAUUGUGCAGGGUGGAUGUUGGCCUCCCGUGAACUCUUUUUGGUCAUGGUUGGUUGAAAAUUGAGACCUUGGUAGGGUGUGCCAUGAUAGAUGGUGGUUGUGUGAUCCACGAGACCAAUCAUGUGCUGCUCUAUUGAAUAUGGCCUCUUUUACCCAUAUGCGUUUCUAAACGCUCGUGAUGAGACCUCAGGUCAGGCGGGGCUACCCGCUGAAUUUAAGCAUAUCAAUAAGCGGAGGAAAAGAAACUAACAAGGAUUCCCUUAGUAACGGCGAGCGAACCGGGAUAAGCCCACCAUGAGAAUCGGUCGCCCUCGGCGUUCGA
Molecule: unclassified non-coding RNA, 439 nt
Filed under: Vicia sepium
Lineage: Eukaryota; Viridiplantae; Streptophyta; Magnoliopsida; Fabales; Fabaceae
Description: sequence contains ITS2
Rfam family: Eukaryotic large subunit ribosomal RNA (bases 299-439)
Source: RNAcentral